GGUUGCUCGGUGGUAUGACUCCAUAUGGAACCCUUAGUUGCUAGCUUACGUUAUUUGGCAUCUGAUGGAGAGCUAUCUUAUUGACAUAUUAUCAUACAACAUACAAGAAGAUGUUAGGUUUACUUUAGUGAAACAGCAACACAAUGUCAUAAAACCAUAAAAGAGAUAACACACGGUCUUUAAAAAACCUACAGAUGUCUUAUAUGAAAUGCACCAAGCACUACAUUUUACCGACUUUAUCAACAUUAUCAAAACAUUAACUAGGGAUUAUUGAAGAUCUGCCAUAAACAGUUAAAACUAAAAUUAAAAUCCCCCCACCCAAAUAUUAUAACAAUUUUAAUUUAAAAUUUCAUCUUUCCUUUUGACAUUUCAAUAAGAUGACGCACACAAGUUUCAAGACCAUAUAAAGAAAUAAUAUGAGAACAGGAAAGUCUUUUUGAUG
RNAcentral lists this long non-coding RNA (442 nucleotides) under Mytilus galloprovincialis (Mediterranean mussel). The record is from RNAcentral. Lineage: Eukaryota; Metazoa; Mollusca; Bivalvia; Mytilida; Mytilidae.